UCAUUUGUUUUACCUGUUUGGUUGUAACGAGGUGCAAGCCGUGAUAUCGUGCUCAGACUAACAUUCAGACGCCUGGCAACAGAAGAUUGGUAAUCUCCAGCGUGGAUUCUUUCAAUGACAAUGUUCCGUGCCGCAGCGUCAAGAU
Long non-coding RNA from Haliotis rubra (blacklip abalone), 145 nucleotides. RefSeq lists it as uncharacterized. The record is from RefSeq and is a predicted model, not a curated record. Lineage: Eukaryota; Metazoa; Mollusca; Gastropoda; Lepetellida; Haliotidae. The transcript is spliced from 3 exons.